This 503-nucleotide ribosomal RNA is filed under the name uncultured Pseudomonadota bacterium. RNAcentral describes it as "bacterial SSU rRNA". It matches the Rfam family "Bacterial small subunit ribosomal RNA", at positions 355 to 851 of the family's 1533-position model. The record is from RNAcentral. Lineage: Bacteria; Pseudomonadati; Pseudomonadota.
UGGGGAAUUUUGGACAAUGGGCGCAAGCCUGAUCCAGCCAUGCCGCGUGCGGGAAGAAGGCCUUCGGGUUGUAAACCGCUUUUGGCAGGAACGAAACGGCGCUCGCUAAUACCGGGCGCUAAUGACGGUACCUGCAGAAUAAGCACCGGCUAACUACGUGCCAGCAGCCGCGGUAAUACGUAGGGUGCAAGCGUUAAUCGGAAUUACUGGGCGUAAAGCGUACGCAGGCGGCUGAGUAAGACAGGUGUGAAAUCCCCGGGCCUAACCUGGGAACUGCAUUUGUGACUGCUUAGCUAGAGUCUGUCAGAGGGGGGUGGAAUUCCGCGUGUAGCAGUGAAAUGCGUAGAGAUGUGGAGGAACACCGAUGGCGAAGGCAGCCCCCUGGGAUGAGACUGACGCUCAUGUACGAAAGCGUGGGGAGCAAACAGGAUUAGAUACCCUGGUAGUCCACGCCCUAAACGAUGUCGACUAGUUGUCGGGCCUUUACAGGUUCGGUAACGCAG